CGUGCUUUAUGGAGCUAAGCCUUGCCCAGAAGAGGAAAGAAGACAGCAGAGACAGCUCAGGGAGUGUGGCAGGAUGCUGUCAUGACCCUGUGUAAGACUCCAGCUGAGUGCUGUGUGUAUUUAUAGACACACACACACACAGACACGCAGGCAUGGGAAACGUGCCCUGGAACAAACGUACUGUUUGUUUCCUGGAAACAUGCCCUUCCUUGCCAACUUGCCAGAUUUCCCAGAUCACAUCAUCCUGAAGCAGGGAAAAUUAUGUCUUCUUAUUCCUGGCAUCCACCUGCCACAUGAAGAGAGAUCUUUGGAAAACGGAUCUGACCACUUCUCUGCCCUUUGGAAGACUGGAGCGAUUUCACCUUGUCCUCGGCCCAACCCAGCUGUGUCCCACCCCAUCGUCCCAAAGAGAGUUUGGCUGGGAACUCCAAGCUCCUCCCUUCCUCUGGAGAGGCUGGGUUGGAGCUUAGGCCCCAGGAAGAGGGCGAGGCAUGUGAGUAUGCCCUGAAGGUAGAGGGCUGGGUGAUGCUGCUGAAGCUGCCCUUUGUCCAGUUUUCUUGGGAUUCCCACUGGUACCUUCCUCAGGGAGAAAAAAAAAAUCACUUCCCUCCUUCUUGGACUUGGUUUCCUAAGAAAGCAACACUUCCAAGUGCCUGUCAUGGCUCACUGGUUAACGAAUCCAACUAGCAUCCAUGAGGACGUGGGUCCGAUCCCUGGCCUUGCUCACUGGGUUAAGGAUCUGGUGUUGCCAUGAGCUGUGGUGCAGGUCACAGAUGUGCCUCGGAUUCUGCAUUGCUGUGGCUGUGGUGUAGGUUGGCAGCUACAGCUCUAAUUCGGCCCCGAGCCCGGGAACCUCCAUAUACUUCAGGUGCCUGCAGCCCUAAAAAGACAAAAGACAAGAGAGAGAAAGAAAGAAAGAAAGAAAGAAAGAAAGAAAGAAAGAAAGAAAGAAAGAAAGAAAGA
This 963-nucleotide long non-coding RNA is filed under the name Sus scrofa (pig). RNAcentral's name for it is "lncRNA (ENSSSCG00050060915.1)". Lineage: Eukaryota; Metazoa; Chordata; Mammalia; Artiodactyla; Suidae. The record is from RNAcentral.